This 106-nucleotide transfer RNA is filed under the name Streptomyces composti. Its description in RNAcentral is "tRNA-OTHER". The record is from RNAcentral. Lineage: Bacteria; Bacillati; Actinomycetota; Actinomycetes; Kitasatosporales; Streptomycetaceae.
GGAGGAUUGGCCGAGUGGCAAGGCACUGGCCCUGCACUGCGCUCCACCAGAGGCAGGCCACGGUCGGGCUGAACGGCCCGCGCACGUUCGAUCCGUGCAUCCUCCG